This 4601-nucleotide long non-coding RNA is filed under the name Brassica napus (rape). RNAcentral's name for it is "long non-coding RNA (BNAP_LNC008580)". Lineage: Eukaryota; Viridiplantae; Streptophyta; Magnoliopsida; Brassicales; Brassicaceae. The record is from RNAcentral.
AAUGCACUUUAUUAAGUUAACUUAAGUGCUCUGAAUCGACCAGUUUUACAAAUUUAUUAGACCAUAUAUUAUUCGCAAAUGUUUUACAUAAUAACAAGUGACCGUGUGAUGAGCGAAAACAAGGUUGAAAAUGAAAUAGCUAGAAUUAGAGCUGAGAUUAAAAAGCCAUCUUGCGUUUCUGCGCUUCUGAAGGCAAUUUAACAUCGGUGGCUAAACUGAGAGCCUGAAAGAACCGAAUAAGGUACCAAGUUAUGUCUAACUGAUACCAUUCCAGUCCGUGCCUAGCCGAGGCCUCAAAGGCAUGGUGGUUGUUGUGCCAGCUUUCUCCCAUCGUCACUGGUGCUAGCCACCUAUAGACCAUUUCCACAAAUACUCAAAAUUAGUUCCUAAUUAUGGUAUGCACAAGGAUGUUCAUAUCUCUUUGAUAAAAUACCAAAUGUUACGUGAUGUGUCCUUGGUGUUCCAAGCUCUCGAGCCCAAAAUAUGACAUGCUGAGUUUAUGAGCCACGUCCCGUGGUAACCGAUUGCUCCUCCAACACCCUGUUACAACAAAAUGAUAUUUUGUUAUUUUUUUAUGAAAUCAGUUUUGAAAACCUAAAACAUUUAUGAAAAAAUGUAAAGAUGUCCUUUUUUUUACCACGCCGCAAGUUAGGUAAGGUAGACCACCCCAUAUAUAGACGAGGGUCCAAAACGCCAUGACGUGGAGACCAACUGUUUUUUGUAGAAACCUGUAGAACCAUUGCUGUUUCAAGUCCAUCACGUUGUUACGUGCUCCACACUGUUGCAUAAAAUUUGCAUUGUUACAACAUGUACGACGUAGUUUUAGUUAAUCAUAAAUCAAGAUUGAUUCUGGUUUUGUAAGAUAUUUGAAAACGCUGGAGUUACCUUUUCUCUGAGGUAACUGGUGUCGAAUAUCCACAGGACAUGACUGAACCAAAAUCCUUCGAUAGGGCUAUGUGGGUCACGGUCAGAAUCUGUGAACUGGUGAUGGAACCUAUGUGUGCUCACCCAAUCUAUUGGAUGACCCUGCCCAAAAAAAUAACAUUUCAAAUAAAACUGAGGAUGCAUAUUGGGUGUGUUUUGUUUCAUUUUAAUUUUUGGUUUAAGCGAUAUAUACCUGAAGGGCAAAAAGUGCAGAAUAAGCAAAAGGAUAUUCAAGCCAUUUAGGUAGCUUAAAGCUCUUGUGAGUCAAAUUUCUAUGGUACGAGAACGUAAUGCUGAGGUUAGUCACUGCAGCGAGAAUAAAACCGAACAGGAGAGCUUCCCAUUUGUAGUUAAAAGGAGCCAUGACACACAACAAAUGAACGGCCACAACACUUAAAGCUCUCAUUAAAUCGACGCUUGUCCAUUUUCUAAAAAAAUAUGCUCUUUUUUCCUUACGCAUUGCUUUUCGGCUAGAGCCAGAGCCAUUCUCCUUGGUGCCACCCAUCAAGGAUGGUUUGUGUUUUGAGAUUUGGUGAGUUAUAUGGUUGAGCAAAGAUUGUGAUUAUAUAUAUAGCUGAAUGUUGUGGAUAUUCAGAAUCGUAAAGCUGGAUUUGAGUAAUCAUAUCAUAGUUUAACAACGAAAUAAUAAACGUGUACACUUCCCCUCGUGUUUGCCUAGUCUCCAAACGAGGAUUUAAUUUUAAAAAUAAUCAAGCGAUUGGUUGGCUAAUUUUAUUAUUUUCUAAUAGGAGCAUUCGUUAAUGUUUUGCGUAGCGAUCCCGGUUGAUUGGUUAGUCCGAGAACUAAGAGUUAAGCAUAAUAGGCACACGUACAAACCUGGACAUUUGUUUGGUAUUUUAAUAAAAAGUUUUUUCGAAUGCUUUUACGUCAUAACAAUACAGGCAUUUUGAUGCCUCUUAACGUUUAAGGUUUAAGAUUGGAAAAUAUUUUGUACGCGUGAUACGCCAAGUAAUAAUAUCCUUUUGGGUACUAAAAAACAGAAAAUGUGUAAAAACCAAAUAAAAAUAUUUGUUAUAAACAAUACAAAGUUUUUUAUUUGUAAAAGGCUUAACAAUACGAAGUUUUUUUUUUUGCCUAAAUUAACAAUACGAGGUUAGUCUAACAAAGAUGCUCUAUAAAGAAUUUCAUCUGUAUUUGUUUUUUUUGGAAACACAAAGAAUUUCAUCUGUAUAUAUGUGAUAUUAUCUAAACCAAAAGUAUUAACAUACACAUUCUAAAGUUCAUAUACUCGGGCCGCUUCUGUUCAAUCCGCUUCUUAUUUUUCCGGUUACUCAAGUUAAAUUUUCUUGCAAUGCUCUCUAUAAAAACCAGAGAGCCAAAGCAAAAUGUUAUUAAUAUAUGGGCAUCACUAUAAAUUAAUAAGUUUUUAAAUGUAAGCAAUCAUACCAAUACUUAUAUCAGUUUUUUCUACUAAUGUGCAUGAACGAAAUGUAAAUGACAUAAAUAAUAGAAAACGUGGUUAACUACAUUACGCAUAUUAGAAGUUCACGAAAACGAACGUAAUUAAGUAAAUUGGUUCCAACACACAACAAACACCGGAUAACACAAUAUUACAAGUGUCACCCUUACCAAAACCUUGAAACGUACGCAGACAUUUAAAUCAUACUUAAUAAAGACGAUAAGUCGAAUAUCCUCAUUCAACGAACCAAUGCCAUACGACGCCGUUGACUCUCUGAAGGCAGCUUCACGUCAGUAGCCAAACCGAUGAUUUCGAGAAAGCGUACGAUGUACCAAGAGAUGUCGAUUUGCCACCACUCUAGGCCUUGUCUCGCCGACGACUCAAAGGCAUGGUGAUUGUUGUGCCAGCUCUCCCCAAACGAGAAUACCGAUAGCCACCUAGAACCAACAUAUUCAACCACUUUGUUAGUUUCUUCGAAGUUAUAACAUAUCAUUAUUGCUAAUUAAUUGAUGUAGCUUUAAUAUCAUAUACUCCAUCUGUUUUUAAUAUAAAUCGUUUUAUAAUUAUGCACAUAUAUUAAGAAAAUCAUUAAUUAUUUAUCUAACCACAAAUCAACCAAUAAUAAAAUAGAAGGUAUAUUAUCAUUGGUCAUAUAACAUUAGGUGUUAAUAAAUUUUACAUAGAAAAUCGAAAACGUCAUAUAAUUUGGAACAUAAAAAUUUCUCUAAAACAACUUAUAUUAAAAAAAACGGAAGGAGUAGUAAAUUAAUAUAUAUGAUUCUGAAACAAGAAAACAUAUAUGAUGCAUAUUUGUCCAUUUUUAAAACAUGGUAAGCUAAUUGGUUGAAUGAUAUAUAUAUAUAUAUAUUUUAAAAAUUAAAUGAUUAACUAUUAUUAUAAUGUAAUAUAUUUCUAAAUUAUAAAUUGCAAAAAAACAAUUAGCAUUUUUUUGUGUCUCUAAUUUAAUUAUAUGUAAAUUUAAAAAUGUAUCAAACCGUAAGAACAUUAUCAUUGGGUUUACAAGUUAUUUUGAACAUGCUCUAGUAGUACCACCGGUAUACUCGUAUGCAUGUUCCAUCCGGAUGUCUCUCAUGCCCAACUUUAACAGGAGACACCGUAGCUCUUGGCAAAUGUAUUCGAGACAUUGGGUUGUCCGAGCUGAUGACGCGGUAAUAGGUGAUGUUGAUGGAGAAGUUGUGCUACUUAAGGUAUAGUUUUGCUUCUUCCACUCCUGUGCUAAUAUAAGUUCCAUGUAGUACAAUGGAUAUGAGCAAUUCUUUCUAAUGUGGUUUGUUGUAUUUUUUAGAAUCCGCUCUUACAAGCCAAGGAAGAAGAGUUUGUGUAUAGGUGUAUUUCCCAAUUUCCAACAAGUAAUUUAUCCGUUGAGGGAUCUUUCACCUUUGUGCCUGGAAGGUAUAUGCUUCAUGGACGAUGAUGUUUGAUUUAUAAGAUUGCAGACCGCUUAUGCUGUUUAUCUUGUUUUUAAGAUUAAACCUUGUAAUUGGAGUAUAAUUUUUACCAUUGCGUCUUUCAUUUUAUGUAGUUUGCAAGAUCCGAAAGGACCUCAAUUCGAAGUCAACGUCGCAGAGUUUCCUGUGAAGUUACCAGACUACAUCUUCUAAACUCAUCUCCCUCAAGGAGGUUUGUUACUCUUUCAAGAUAAUGCGUUAUAUCAGCUUUUAUAGUUCAUACAUUGUGCAAUGCACUUUAUUAAGUUAACUUAAGUGCUCUGAAUCGACCAGUUUUAUAGUUCAUACAUUGUGCAAUGCACUUUAUUAAGUUAACUUAAGUGCUCUGAAUCGACCAGUUUUACAAAUUUAUUAGACCAUAUAUUAUUCGCAAAUGUUUUACAUAAUAACAAGUGACCGUGUGAUGAGCGAAAACAAGGUUGAAAAUGAAAUAGCUAGAAUUAGAGCUGAGAUUAAAAAGCCAUCUUGCGUUUCUGCGCUUCUGAAGGCAAUUUAACAUCGGUGGCUAAGCCGAGAGCCUGAAAGAACCGAAUAAGGUACCAAGUUAUGUCUAACUGAUACCAUUCCAGUCCGUGCCUAGCCGAGGCCUCAAAGGCAUGGUGGUUGUUGUGCCAGCUUUCUCCCAUCGUCACUGGUGCUAGCCACCUAUACACCAUUUCGACAAAUACUCAAAAUUAGUUUCUAGUUAUGGUAUGCACAAGGAUGUCAGAGCCGUGCCUCGGUGAGAGCAAAUGAAACAUUUGCUUAGGGCAGCAGAUUUUUAUAAAAAAUUAAAGGCAUCAGCUUAG